ACCCGCUGAACUUAAGCAUAUCAAUAAGCGGAGGAAAAGAAACCAACAGGGAUUGCCCCAGUAACGGCGAGUGAAGCGGCAACAGCUCAAAUUUGAAAUCUGGUCCCCCCGCGGGGCCCGAGUUGUAAUUUGAAGAGGAUGCUUCUGGCAAGGUGCCGUCCGAGUUCCCUGGAACGGGACGCCGCAGAGGGUGAGAGCCCCGUACGGUCGGACGCCGAGCCUCUGUGAAGCUCCUUCGACGAGUCGAGUAGUUUGGGAAUGCUGCUCAAAAUGGGAGGUAAACCCCUUCUAAAGCUAAAUACCGGCCAGAGACCGAUAGCGCACAAGUAGAGUGAUCGAAAGAUGAAAAGCACUUUGAAAAGAGAGUUAAAAAGCACGUGAAAUUGUUGAAAGGGAAGCGCUUGCGACCAGACUCGCGCCCGUCGGAUCAGCCGUCGCUCGUCGGCGGCGCACUCCGGCGGGCUCGGGCCAGCAUCAGUUCGCCUCGGGGGGAGAAAGGCGGCGGGAAUGUGGCUCCACGGAGUGUUAUAGCCCACCGCGUAAUACCCCCGGGCGGACUGAGGACCGCGCGUAUGCAAGGAUGCUGGCGUAAUGGUCGUCAGCGACCCGUCUUGAAACACGGACCAAGGAGUCGUCCUAAUAUGCGAGUGUACGGGUGUCAAACCCCUGCGCGUAAUGAAAGUGAACGGAGGUGAGAGCUUCGGCGCAUCAUCGACCGAUCCUGAUGUUCUCGGAUGGAUUUGAGUAAGAGCAUAUUGGGCCGGACCCGAAAGAAGGUGAACUAUGCCUGUGUAGGGUAAAGCCAGAGGAAACUCUGGUGGAGGCUCGCAGCGGUUCUGACGUGCAAAUCGAUCGUCAAACAUGGGCAUGGGGGCGAAAGACUAAUCGAACCUUCUAGUAGCUGGUUUCCGCCGAGUUYYCCCC
This 924-nucleotide small RNA is filed under the name Microascus cirrosus. RNAcentral's name for it is "eukaryotic LSU rRNA". It matches the Rfam family "Eukaryotic large subunit ribosomal RNA", at positions 23 to 973 of the family's 3401-position model. The record is from RNAcentral. Lineage: Eukaryota; Fungi; Ascomycota; Sordariomycetes; Microascales; Microascaceae.